Molecule: ribosomal RNA, 200 nt
Filed under: uncultured bacterium
Lineage: Bacteria
Description: partial 16S ribosomal RNA
Rfam family: Bacterial small subunit ribosomal RNA
Source: RNAcentral
AUUGAACGCUGGCGGCAGGCCUAACACAUGCAAGUCGAGCGCGAAAGUUCUUCGGAAUGAGUAAAGCGGCGGACGGGUGAGUAAUACAUGGGAAUCUGCCUGGUAGUGGGGGACAACGUUUCGAAAGGAACGCUAAUACCGCAUACGCCCUACGGGGAAAGGGGGGGAUCUUCGGACCUCUCGCUAUCAGAUGAGCCCAU